Molecule: ribosomal RNA, 554 nt
Filed under: Clostridioides difficile
Lineage: Bacteria; Bacillati; Bacillota; Clostridia; Peptostreptococcales; Peptostreptococcaceae
Description: bacterial LSU rRNA
Rfam family: Bacterial large subunit ribosomal RNA
Source: RNAcentral
CAGUUUUGGCGGAGCCAUCCUUGGGAUACCACCCUUGUAGUACUGGGACUCUAACCAUAGGCCAUGAAUCUGGUCUUGGGACACUGUCAGGUGGGCAGUUUGACUGGGGCGGUCGCCUCCCAAAAGGUAACGGAGGCGCUCAAAGGUUCUCUCAGUACGGUCGGAAAUCGUACGUAGAGUGUAAAGGCAAAAGAGAGCUUGAUUGCAAGACAUACAGGUCGAGCAAGGAUGAAAAUCGGACUUAGUGAUCCGGUGGUUCUGCGUGGAAGGGCCAUCGCUCAACGGAUAAAAGCUACCCUGGGGAUAACAGGCUUAUCUCCCCCAAGAGUCCACAUCGACGGGGAGGUUUGGCACCUCGAUGUCGGCUCAUCACAUCCUGGGGCUGUAGUAGGUCCCAAGGGUUGGGCUGUUCGCCCAUUAAAGUGGUACGCGAGCUGGGUUCAGAACGGCGUGAGACAGUUCGGUCCCUAUCCGUCGCAGGCGUAGGAAAUUUGAGAAGACCUGUCCUUAGUACGAGAGGACCGGGAUGGACGUACCUCUGGUGUACCAGUUGU